Molecule: ribosomal RNA, 503 nt
Filed under: uncultured euryarchaeote
Lineage: Archaea; Methanobacteriati; Methanobacteriota
Description: bacterial SSU rRNA
Rfam family: Archaeal small subunit ribosomal RNA
Source: RNAcentral
GUGGCAAAGGGCUGAGUAACACGUAGUCAAUCUACCCUGGAGAAGGAGAUAACCUCGAGAAAUUGAGGACAAUAUCCUAUAUUCCACCUAUGCUGGAAUGCUUGGUGGUUUAAACGGGCUGUGAAUUGGAACAGUUCCGCUCCAGGACGAGACUGCGCGGGAUUAUGGUUGUUGGUAGGGUAACGGCUUACCAAGCCUAUAAUCUCUAGGGGCCAUGAGAGUGGUGGCCCCCAGAAGGGCACUGAGACAAGGGCCCUAGCCCUACGGGGUGCAGCAGGCGCGAAACCUCUACAAUGCUCGAAAGAGUGAUAGGGGAACUCCGAGUGGCGUAAGCUAAGCUUGCGUCUUUUGCCAAGUGUAAAUAGCUUGGAGAAUAAGGGUGUGGGCAAGACUGGUGGCAGCCGCCACGGUAAAACCAGCGCCUCAAGUGGUAUCCACGAAUACAGGGCCUAGAGCGUUCGUAGUCGGCCAGGUAAGUCUUCUGUGAAAUAGUGUAGCUUAAC